This 490-nucleotide ribosomal RNA is filed under the name uncultured bacterium. RNAcentral's name for it is "partial 16S ribosomal RNA". It matches the Rfam family "Bacterial small subunit ribosomal RNA", at positions 29 to 507 of the family's 1533-position model. The record is from RNAcentral.
AGUGAACGCUGGCGGCAGGCUUAACACAUGCAAGUCGAACGGCAACACAGGGUAGCUUGCUGUCUGGGUGUCGAUUGGCGGACGGAUCAUGAAUACAUGUUCAGCAGCCCAGUCGUGGGCGGGAGCUUAUACAAACUUACCCUAAUAGGGCAAAGGAUCAUCGCGUGAGAGCUGGGGAGCGCAAGACCUCUCACGAGGUGAUGUGACGAUGUCGGAUUAGCUAGUUGAGGGGGUAAUGGGCCACCAAGGUGACGCUCCGUAGCUGGUAGGAGAGGAUCAACAGCCACACUGGAACUGAGAAACGGCCGAGACUCCUACGGGAGGCAGCAGUGGGGAAUAUUGGACAAUGGGCGAAAGCCUGAUCCAGCAAUACCGCGUGGGUGAAGAAGGCGUUCGGGUUGUAAAGUGCUUUUGUUCGGAAAGAAAUCUUUCAGGCUAAUACAGUGGGAGGAUGACGGUACCGAAAGAAUAAGCACCGGCUAACUUCGUG